GGGAAGCGAGAUCGAGAGAUGGAGCAAAUCCCAAAAAUAACGUCCCAGUUCGGACUGUAGUCUGCAACCCGACUACACGAAGCUGGAUUCGCUAGUAAUCGCGCAUCAGCCAUGGCGCGGUGAAUACGUUCCCGGGCCUUGUACACACCGCCCGUCAAGCCAUGGGAGUCGGGAGUGCCUGAAGUUCGUGACCGUCACAGGAGCGACCUAAGGCAAGACCGAUGACUGGGGCUAAGUCGUAACAAGGUAAC
This 251-nucleotide ribosomal RNA is filed under the name uncultured bacterium. Its description in RNAcentral is "partial 16S ribosomal RNA". It matches the Rfam family "Bacterial small subunit ribosomal RNA", at positions 1244 to 1500 of the family's 1533-position model. The record is from RNAcentral.